GAUGAACGCUGGCGGCGUGCUUAACACAUGCAAGUCGAACGAAGCGCUUGGAGGGAAUCCUUCGGAAGGAAGCUCAAGUGGCUGAGUGGCGGACGGGUGAGUAACGCGUGGGUAACCUGCCUCAUACAGGGGGAUAACGGUUAGAAAUGACUGCUAAUACCGCAUAAGCAGCCGCUAUCGCAUGAUCGAGUGGGAAAAACUCCGGUGGUAUAAGAUGGACCCGCGUUGGAUUAGCUUGUUGGUGGGGUAACGGCCCACCAAGGCGACGAUCCAUAGCCGGCCUGAGAGGGUGAACGGCCACAUUGGGACUGAGACACGGCCCAGACUCCUACGGGAGGCAGCAGUGGGGAAUAUUGCACAAUGGGGGAAACCCUGAUGCAGCGACGCCGCGUGAAGGAAGAAGUAUCUCGGUAUGUAAACUUCUAUCAGCAGGGAAGAUAGUGACGGUACCUGACUAAGAAGCCCCGGCUAACUACGUGCCAGCCGCCGCAGUAA
Molecule: ribosomal RNA, 495 nt
Filed under: uncultured bacterium
Lineage: Bacteria
Description: partial 16S ribosomal RNA
Rfam family: Bacterial small subunit ribosomal RNA
Source: RNAcentral